This 236-nucleotide long non-coding RNA is filed under the name Lathyrus oleraceus (garden pea). RNAcentral describes it as "Pisum sativum (pea) long non-coding RNA (PSAT_LNC004986)". The record is from RNAcentral. Lineage: Eukaryota; Viridiplantae; Streptophyta; Magnoliopsida; Fabales; Fabaceae.
UUACAGGUAGAUGGCGAUGCCUGAGGCAAUUGACUUACAAGAGGAUGGAUGAAUGCGUGCUGGUUCUGUUAAGUUUUGAAAAUGAUUACUCGACGUUGGAUCGAGCUUUUGAUCUUAUUUUGAAAUGGUUAUCGGAUGUUCGUUUUAAUUCUUGUAUUAACAGGUGACUAAAGAAAUAAAGAAAUAAAUAUUAUACACUUUAUGGGAGAGGGGUACAUUUGUUAUGAAUGGGGAUU